GGCAUACGACGAGGAGGAUAUUAUCGAUUGAUUCGUUGAUGUUCUUCAUCAAAUUGAAACACUGAAUACUGCUACACUGCUCUCUGCUUCUCUGCAUUCCUUGCUGCUCUGAUGUCCAGGCUGCUGGCGAGCCUGCGCUGCUCUGCUGUUCUGAUACUCCAAAAAGGGGUAAACAGCGUUUAUACCUUUAGCGGCUGCGGCGCCACUGCUGGUGGAGGUGAUGACGGCAUUGCCUGCUGCUCAGCACCAUUGCAUGAUGUGCUCUGAUGGUCUGACUGGCGGCAGGGCGAGGUGGCUGCCUGAGCUACUCAACUCCGCGUACCCGCCAACUAACAUAUAAUAAACUCUAAGAGAGGUACCUAGAUGCACUUGUGCUCCUGUCCAUCACUGCAUCGGCGCAAGGCCCAAGUGCCAAACUCCUGCACUGUUACUCUAGUCCAGAACGCAAGGUCCAAAGAGUUGGACUCUAGCUGUCCAUUGCUCACUACUUCAGCUGUUUGGCUGGCAGUUUUCCAUCUUGCCCACGUGGACACUUCAACUCAUCUCCUGCUGCUGCUCUUGCACUGAAUUCCCGAGCUCAUUUGCCGAGGUGGUGACGUGUCGACGUGACGAGUUGACGACGCCACUGCUCCCAUCAUGACACUGACAGACUCACUACUUCUCUUCUUCUGAAUAACUCAAUAUAACAAAGCUCAGUGAAUACGGGAUAAGAGAUACAACUCUAGGCGGUGGAUCACUCGGCUCGUGCGUCGAUGAAGAGCGCAGCAAACUGCGUGAAGUAGUGUGAAUUGCAGGACACCUUGAUCAUCGACAUCUCGAACGCACAUUGCGGCCGAGGUUUCUAGCCUCGGCCACGUCUGUCUGAGGGUCGGCCUACUCUUAGGAGUAACCGCGCUGUAAUGCGGUUUGUUCAGGAGUUCAUUGACUCUAGGCGACGGCGAAGCUGAGAAGCUCAGAGCCGACCUGCUCAUUCGGGUUGGCUAGGGGUGGAUGGCGGAGCCGUGGCUGUUUGACAGUCGAUGCUCUUGUAAAUUGUCGAUCAGCGCCAGCGAGCAUGACCGGUCGCUCGACUAGUCGUGUUCGUUCGGGCCUUGGUCAAUUGGCAGGUCUCUGUCGUUGCAUUAGCAGAGAACUUCCUUGUCGUUGAACGCUCGCACUUCGGUUCAGUUGUCGUUCUCGCUGUUCUAGCUGGAGUCUGGCUAGUAUGAUUCUGGUGCGGAGUGCCUGGGUGUGAUGCAGUGAGGCGUUGCAUUGGCGUGGUUCGUCGUGUGGUGUCGUGUUCGUUUCGCGACCACCGGUGGCCAUGCUGCUCUGAGCAGUGCCGAAGCUGUGUCAUGUCUAGUCCCGACGGGCCGGGUCGUGCCAAGUGGACGCCUAUAGCGAUGACGGUUGCGACAUCGAUAGCCUCCGAUAGUGAGCGAAGCAAGGGAGAGCCGAUAGGCCAACGGUCAGCGGUGCUAAGCAGGCACAGGUCAGCUGGUCAACCAACCAGCUAGGUCUGUGAUCUUACUAUCACGCCUCAGUCAGUCGGUCAACGAACAA
RNAcentral lists this ribosomal RNA (1542 nucleotides) under Stenostomum arevaloi. Its description in RNAcentral is "eukaryotic LSU rRNA". The stretch from base 718 to 871 matches the Rfam family "5.8S ribosomal RNA". The record is from RNAcentral. Lineage: Eukaryota; Metazoa; Platyhelminthes; Stenostomidae.